Myotis myotis is the source of this 1111-nucleotide long non-coding RNA. RefSeq lists it as uncharacterized. The transcript is spliced from 3 exons. NCBI's taxonomy places the organism in Eukaryota, Metazoa, Chordata, Mammalia, Chiroptera, Vespertilionidae. The record is from RefSeq and is a predicted model, not a curated record.
CCCUGUGCCCCUCCUUACAGCAUAGCCACUGUGACUUUGUGAGGGUGAGCCGUGGGGAGAAGACUCCUGAAAUGUUCAUUCUUGUUGCAGAGAUGGACAAAGGACAGAAAUUAGAGGCUACAUUCUGGUACACAUUCUGCCAUACUUCUCAGAAAAUCGGAUCCAUCUUUUCCGUAGUUACACUGAAGGUCACAACCACAUCUACAGUGAUCUGCACUGGCUGUUUUGACAGCUGUUUCUCAAACCAGCAUUUUGGCAGCAGAGGUCCAAAUGUCUAGGUCAAAAUUGCUCCCCAUUUGAAAAUUAGUUCAUACUGGAUCCAAUUGUGAGGUCCAGUCAGGCUCAGAAACAUGUUGCUGAUAUGCAUGGUAAUAAAUGCUUGGGCUGGAGUAUUACAGCUGGUAAGAGCAUGGACUUUGUGGUACGAUGGGCCUGGAUUCAAAUCUUUAGUUAUGCAACUUUGGCAAAUUAUUGAAUCUUUCAAAAACCUUGGCAAAUUAUCUAAUCUUUUAAAAACCCUGUUUUCUCAUUUGUGAAAUGCUAACCACAGCAGUGUGAAUCUCAUAGAGAAUCUCACAGGAUUGUUGUGAGGGUUAGAAGAGAUGACACAGCUCUGCACAUGGUGCCUGGUGCACCAUGAGUGCCAACAAAUGAGUGUUUGGUGGUAAUAGUUGAGCAGCCUUUUCAAUAAACUGACCAGACAUGUCCCUAAUGGUGCUAGCCCAUGCGAGCACCCAGCUCUGAGAGCUGAUGGCAACUCUUCACCUUUGUCUUGAAAUCACCUAGUUGAAAUCUAAUUGUGCGAGCUAGGGUUGUGGGCUGUAAAGGAACAGAGACCAACUUUACACAAUUUUAACAGAAAGCAUAGAGCUGGUCUGGUCAAGACAGUGCAGAUUGCCUUGUGGAUACCAUUGACACUGGACCCUGAAAACGGCCACUACAGCUGCUGCCCCUGUCCCCUGUGAAGUGCUGACUGGUCGCCCCGUCUACCCACUCAAACCAGAAUGGAUUCCUGUCACUGCAAGCUUCAGCUACAAAUCUAGGCGGGGAGUGGCUGCACCAAUCUGCGUUCCCACCAGCAGAUGAGUGGAUUAAAAAACUGUGGUACAUC